GACUAACGCUGGCGGUAUGCCUUAGACAUGCAAGUCGAACGAGUUUCCGGGCUUGCUCGGAAAUUAGUGGCGAACGGCUGAGUAACGCGUAGGUGACCUACCCCGUAGUGUGGAAUAACUGCCCGAAAGGGUAGCUAAUACCGCAUGUUGGGCCGACAUCAAUGUCGUCUCCAAAGCAGAAAUGCGCUAUGGGCGGGGCCUGCGUUCGAUUAGCUAGUUGGUGGGGUAAUGGCUCACCAAGGCGACGAUCGAUAGGUGGUCUGAGAGGACGAUCACCCAGACUGGGACUGAGACACAGCCCAGACUCCUACGGGAGGCAGCAGUGGGGAAUAUUGCACAAUGGGCGAAAGCCUGACGCAGCAACGCCGCGUGAGGGAUGAAGGCCUUCGGGUUGUAAACCUCUUUUAGUUGGGAAGAAGCGAAAGUGACGGUACCAACAGAAAAAGCACCGGCUAACUACGUGCCAGCCGCCGCAGUAA
This 479-nucleotide ribosomal RNA is filed under the name uncultured bacterium. RNAcentral describes it as "partial 16S ribosomal RNA". It matches the Rfam family "Bacterial small subunit ribosomal RNA", at positions 28 to 523 of the family's 1533-position model. The record is from RNAcentral.